RNAcentral lists this ribosomal RNA (253 nucleotides) under uncultured bacterium. Its description in RNAcentral is "partial 16S ribosomal RNA". It matches the Rfam family "Bacterial small subunit ribosomal RNA", at positions 524 to 776 of the family's 1533-position model. The record is from RNAcentral.
UACAGAGGUCUCAAGCGUUGUUCGGAAUCACUGGGCGUAAAGCGCACGUAGGCGGCUUUCUAAGUCAGGGGUGAAAUCCUGGAGCUCAACUCCAGAACUGCCUUUGAUACUGGAGAGCUUGAGUCCGGAAGAGGUGAGUGGAACUCCGAGUGUAGAGGUGAAAUUCGUAGAUAUUCGGAAGAACACCAGCGGCGAAGGCGGCGCUCUGGGCCGGAACUGACGCUGAGGAGCGAAAGCGUGGGUAGCAAACAGG